This 275-nucleotide ribosomal RNA is filed under the name uncultured bacterium. RNAcentral's name for it is "partial 16S ribosomal RNA". It matches the Rfam family "Bacterial small subunit ribosomal RNA", at positions 523 to 796 of the family's 1533-position model. The record is from RNAcentral.
AUACGGGGGGGGCAAGCGUUAUUCGGAAUUAUUGGGCGUAAAGCGCACGUAGGCGGCUUGACAAGUCAAAUGGUGAAAUCCCUCGGCUCAACCGAGGAACUGCCUUUGAAACUGUCAGGCUUGAGGUCGGGAGGGGGUAGCGGAAUUCCCAGUGUAGCGGUGAAAUGCGUAGAUAUUGGGAGGAACACCGGUGGCGAAGGCGGCUACCUGGACCGAUUCUGACGCUGAGGUGCGAAAGCGUGGGUAGCAAACAGGAUUAGAAACCCUAGUAGUCC